This is a long non-coding RNA of Ictalurus punctatus (channel catfish), 514 nucleotides long. RefSeq lists it as uncharacterized. NCBI's taxonomy places the organism in Eukaryota, Metazoa, Chordata, Actinopteri, Siluriformes, Ictaluridae. The transcript has 2 exons. The record is from RefSeq and is a predicted model, not a curated record.
GUGGUUGACUUUCGGUGGAGGAACCAAACUCAUCGUCACCGGUCCCACGGUGAAGCCCUCCGUGUCUCUGCUCCCUCCCUCCUCUCUGCAGCUGUCUGAGGGAUCGGCCUCGCUGCUCUGCCUGCUGUCUGCCUACUCUCCACAGGGGGCGCUGGUGAGCUGGACAGUGGACGGCUCAGAGGUGAAGGACGGGGUUCUGACCAGCGCAGAAGAACAGAAGAAGGACGGGUACACACGCAGCAGCACCCUGACCCUCAGCAAAGCGCUCUGGGAAAAGGGGGAGGAGUUUGUCUGUAAGGUCUCCCAUGACAACGUCGAUCAUCCGGUCACGUUCAGAAAGAGCCAGUGUGAAGUCUAACAGCUCCAAGAUAGAAUUGAACACUGAGCUGCUUACACAUCCAUCUACAAUAGAGUUUCAAUUCUACACAAUGCUGACAUUUCUGUCUUUACUCUCUUCACUGUCCUGUUGCUCUUCCUGUAGUUUUGCUCUGCUGAAAUAAAGCUUCAUUUUGGA